AAACGUUGUCUAUACGCAUGGUUAGAGA
Molecule: small RNA, 28 nt
Filed under: Bombyx mori (domestic silkworm)
Lineage: Eukaryota; Metazoa; Arthropoda; Insecta; Lepidoptera; Bombycidae
Description: ovarian small RNA-10028
Source: RNAcentral